Molecule: long non-coding RNA, 1232 nt
Organism: Syngnathus typhle (broad-nosed pipefish)
Lineage: Eukaryota; Metazoa; Chordata; Actinopteri; Syngnathiformes; Syngnathidae
Exons: 3
Source: RefSeq, a predicted model, not a curated record
CGCACCACUGCCUUAAGGCAUACAAGAGUCUGGAUGCCUACAAAUAUUUUACAGCAGGUUUUGUGCAUGAUGGGCUGAUAUGGCAGAUUCCAAACAAUAAUCGAUUUCUUCUCAUGACCAAGCCAGCCACUUUUUCACCAUUUUGUUUGGAAGACCAGCUGACCAUCGAAGAGAAUUCACCACAAUUUUUGGCGUCACGAACAGUUCUCUUGUCCUUCGGGGAGCCCUCGCUCGCCUGGGUGCGAGCAUCGAGCGUCCGGCCGGCAGGCUGAGUUUGAGUGCCAGGAUCCCUGAAAACUCGAUCCCGAGACUCCGCCUGCAGCCGUGGACGACUACAAAACGGUGCCUGGCUUUGAGGCACCUUUGACCUUUGGCAAGGACAAAGAAAGACUGUCGAGCGUCCGGCCGGCAGGCUGAGUUUGAGGUGAGAAGCUUUCACUCACAGUAUUACGAGGUGCUCGUCACUGGUGUGGGGGGGAUGGAGUGGCUCCUAAGCGGGACAGUUAAUGGGCCUGGUGUGCCAGUGGCUGGCGAAAAAGGGGGGGAUUUGUCUCCCCUAGCUGGAUGUCGACGAGAUGUGGAUUUUGGAGUAGCCCCAAUAGGAAAAUGAAAAUGUUCAAUAAAAAUAGAAAAAAGGAAAAAAGGCAAAUAAAAAUGGAAAAAUAGCAUAAAACGUAAUGGGGAAUGUGCACAACAGUGUGAGUGACAUGUCUGGUGUGAAUGAUGAAUGAUAAAGAAAAAUGCCCCGAGAGAGAGGGCACGUGAAACAGGACAGGAUGUCUUAGACAUUACUGAUCGGCUGUCACGAGAGAAUAAUAAUAGAAAGUCCCAUAAAACGUGGAAUUUCUUUUGGCGACACAUCCGAUGGAGGAUGGAAAUUUUAGCUGUGUGAUUGAGGCGAAAACACAGGUACGAUUGAACACUGUGCGACAAGAGACGUGCACCACCAAGCCACCAGAGGCACAAUUCCCGGGGUCAUACUGGGACGUUGAGAUCACACCCAAUGUGGUCGUUGAGAUGUUUGGUGGGGGCAUUUGUCUCUAUAAAGGUCGCACGAAAAUGGGAGGCUUGCUGCAGACCGCAAUUGGCAGAGCGGAGGAGUGUGCAGCCUUGGCAUCCAUAGCUGUGUGAACGAAUGUGGGAGAAUUACCGGCUGGUUCUGGGACCAGGGCGCCAAAGACAAUGAUGCGCGCAGACCACGUUAUUUGAGCACUGAUCAGAUUAGGAGUUUG